UAUAUAUAUUUAUAGAUAGAUUAAGUACAUAAAUGUGGAACAAGGUGGGAAAGAUAGUACUCGAAUACUGGAGAUAGAGCAAUAUGCUUUAUUAUUAAAGUUGCAAAAACAUCACAAAUAUAUCACAAAAACUACUACUCAGAGUUUCACGUUC
Long non-coding RNA from Octopus sinensis (East Asian common octopus), 154 nucleotides. RefSeq lists it as uncharacterized. The record is from RefSeq and is a predicted model, not a curated record. Lineage: Eukaryota; Metazoa; Mollusca; Cephalopoda; Octopoda; Octopodidae. The transcript has 3 exons.